RNAcentral lists this long non-coding RNA (621 nucleotides) under Ficedula albicollis (Collared flycatcher). Its description in RNAcentral is "lncRNA (ENSFALG00000018683.2)". The record is from RNAcentral. Lineage: Eukaryota; Metazoa; Chordata; Aves; Passeriformes; Muscicapidae.
AUCCUUCCUUGUACCUUUGUAACAGCUGUAAAGCCAGAAACCUCUCAAGCAAAGUGGAAAAUGCCUGUGAGCACCUUUUUCUCCUAAUUGGUAGACAUUUGUAUUAACCGACCUCUCACCAUUAGGGAAGGGCCACGGAUCAAACCCUUCAAGGCAACAUCAGAUCUAGUUGUGUUCCUGACAGGUCCCUGCUGCCAGCACCUAGAAUAUACUCAAGUCCAGUACUCAAUCUGGCUCCACUCAGGAAAGCAACUAUCAUGAUACUUUGGGGCUUCUAAAUAUUUCAAGACCAAAUAUAUCAAUAUUAGAAGUCACUCAACUUCUGCUGACUCAAUUUUGACCAUUCAAGCUGCUGUUUUCAUCUCUUCUCACUAGGAAUAAAGGUUUCCAGCAAAAUGGUCAGGUAAGAGCAGCUUUUGUAUACAUGAUAUAAAAUCAUCUACCUCACUGUCCUGUGGUUGUAUUAAAUCCACAGGAUUAGCAGGGGAAUCACUGAACUAUUAUUUCCCUGUUCAUCAUGUUGUUUUAGUACAAGAAAGAUGAUGUACCAAGAUCUUAGGGAGCUGCUGUUGGGACUUAACAUUACUUACAUCAAGGGGAAAAUAAAAACAUCAAAAACUA